CCUACGGGAGGCAGCAGUGAGGAAUAUUGGUCAAUGGCCGGAAGGCUGAACCAGCCAUGCCGCGUGAAGGUCAGUGCCCUAUGGGCGUUAAACUUCUUUUGUGCGGGAGCAAUAAUGGUCACGUGUGGCCAGACGAGAGUACCGUACGAAUAAGCAUCGGCUAACUCCGUGCCAGCAGCCGCGGUAAUACGGGGGGUGCAAGCGUUAUCCGGAUUUAUUGGGUUUAAAGGGUGCGUAGGCUGGGAGGUAAGUCAGCGGUGAAAUGCCCCCGCUCACAGGGGUGAAGUGCCAUUGAUACUGCCUUGCUGGAAUGCGGAUGCAGUGGGAGGAAUGUGUGGUGUAGCGGUGAAAUGCAUAGAUAUCACACAGAACACCGAUUGCGAAGGCAUCUCACGAAUCCGCGAUUGACGCUGAUGCACGAAAGCGUGGGUAUCGAACAGGAUUAGAUACCCUGGUAGUC
RNAcentral lists this ribosomal RNA (460 nucleotides) under uncultured bacterium. RNAcentral's name for it is "partial 16S ribosomal RNA". It matches the Rfam family "Bacterial small subunit ribosomal RNA", at positions 338 to 795 of the family's 1533-position model. The record is from RNAcentral.